CCAGUUGUCACGCCAGUGGCACGGCUGGAUAGCCACGCUAGGAAAAGGUAACCACUGAAAGCAUCUAAGUGGGAAACUUGUUUCAAGAUGAGGUUGCUCUCUCUUCGGAGGUAAGAUCUCCCGUAGACUACGGGUUUGAUAGGCGCCAUGUGAAAGUCCCGUAAGGGAUUGAGCAAAGGUGUACUAAUAGAUCGAGAGGAUUU
RNAcentral lists this ribosomal RNA (203 nucleotides) under Candidatus Altimarinota bacterium. RNAcentral's name for it is "partial 23S ribosomal RNA". It matches the Rfam family "Bacterial large subunit ribosomal RNA", at positions 2717 to 2925 of the family's 2925-position model. The record is from RNAcentral. Lineage: Bacteria; Candidatus Altimarinota.